GACGAACGCUGGCGGCGUGCUUAACACAUGCAAGUCGAACGGAAAGGCCCUGCUUUUGUGGGGUGCUCGAGUGGCGAACGGGUGAGUAACACGUGAGUAACCUGCCCUUGACUUUGGGAUAACUUCAGGAAACUGGGGCUAAUACCGGAUAGGAGCUCCUGCUGCAUGGUGGGGGUUGGAAAGUUUCGGCGGUUGGGGAUGGACUCGCGGCUUAUCAGCUUGUUGGUGGGGUAGUGGCUUACCAAGGCUUUGACGGGUAGCCGGCCUGAGAGGGUGACCGGCCACAUUGGGACUGAGAGACGGACCAGACUCCUACGGGAGGCAGCAGUGGGGAGUAUUGCACAAUGGGCGGAAGCCUGAUGCAGCAGCGCCGCGUGCGGGAUGACGGCCUUCGGGUUGUAAACCGCUUUCGCCUGUGACGAAGCGGGAGUGACGGUAAUGGGUAAAGAAGCACCGGCUAACUACGUG
This 468-nucleotide ribosomal RNA is filed under the name uncultured bacterium. RNAcentral's name for it is "partial 16S ribosomal RNA". It matches the Rfam family "Bacterial small subunit ribosomal RNA", at positions 28 to 507 of the family's 1533-position model. The record is from RNAcentral.